CUGUACCUCUGUCUCUGUGGCAGCACGAACAGGAAAUGUAGAAAAAUCCCAUCAGAGUCAAUUCAGUUAUCCCCCUGCCUCUAACAGGUGUCCCAUAACCAGGACAGAUCACCUGGAUGCCUGCCUGCCCUGAUAACUGAUGUUGAAGGUCAGUUGACCCAUCUCACCUCCUCCAGGAAGCCUCGCUGCUCCAGCCCUCCCACACUGCCAGGCCGGCCCUGGAACUUUGCCCGCAAGACCACGCCUCAGGGUGGAAAAUGAAAGAUGCUUAAGGUCACUGCCCCUCCUGUUCUGUACACAAGCCUAAGCUCGGGAGGAAAUAAUUUGAGGUAUCUGGAAGAAGCAGAGAGAGCAGGGCAGCUCUGAAGUCACUGCGAGGCUGUGAGAGGUCAGCCAGCGCUUCAAAGGACCCCAGGACCUUUGCAUAACCCUGGACUGAAUGGG
RNAcentral lists this long non-coding RNA (444 nucleotides) under Homo sapiens (human). RNAcentral's name for it is "HSALNT0105959". Lineage: Eukaryota; Metazoa; Chordata; Mammalia; Primates; Hominidae. The record is from RNAcentral.